CAUGGUCUUUUGUUUUAAUUUAAGAUUUGACCUGCCCGCUGAAAUAUUGAAUGGCCGCGGUAUUUUGACCGUGCAAAGGUAGCAUAAUAAUUAGUUUUUUAAUUGAAAGCUGGUAUGAAUGGUUGGACGAGAAAAUUUCUGUCUCUGUUUAAUUUAAUUAGAAUUUAAUUUUUGAGUUAAAAAGCUCAAAUUUUUUUAAAAGACGAGAAGACCCUAUAGAGUUUAAUAUUAAUAUUAAGGUUAAUAAUUAAGAAUUUAAUUUUUAUUUUAAUUUAAAUAUUUUAUUGGGGUGAUAAGGAGAUAAAAUUAACUCUCUUUUUAUAAUAACAUUAAUUUAUGAAUUUUUGAUCCAAUAUUUUUGAUUAUAAGAAUAAAUUACCUUAGGGAUAACAGCGUAAUCUUUUUAGAGAGUUCUUAUCGAAAUAAGGGAUUGCGACCUCGAUGUUGGAUUAAAAUAAAUUUUUGGUGCAGAAGCUAAAAUAUUAAGUCUGUUCGACUUUUAAAAUUUUACAUGAUCUGAGU
Molecule: ribosomal RNA, 522 nt
Filed under: Ptilodactylidae sp. UPOL RK0829
Lineage: Eukaryota; Metazoa; Arthropoda; Insecta; Coleoptera; Ptilodactylidae
Description: partial 16S ribosomal RNA
Rfam family: Bacterial large subunit ribosomal RNA
Source: RNAcentral